Molecule: transfer RNA, 74 nt
Filed under: Cardinium endosymbiont of Culicoides punctatus
Lineage: Bacteria; Pseudomonadati; Bacteroidota; Cytophagia; Cytophagales; Amoebophilaceae
Description: tRNA-Gly
Rfam family: tRNA
About the family: Transfer RNA (tRNA) molecules are approximately 80 nucleotides in length. Their secondary structure includes four short double-helical elements and three loops (D, anti-codon, and T loops). Further hydrogen bonds mediate the characteristic L-shaped molecular structure. tRNAs have two regions of fundamental functional importance: the anti-codon, which is responsible for specific mRNA codon recognition, and the 3' end, to which the tRNAs corresponding amino acid is attached (by aminoacyl-tRNA synthetases). tRNAs cope with the degeneracy of the genetic code in two manners: having more than one tRNA (with a specific anti-codon) for a particular amino acid; and 'wobble' base-pairing, i.e. permitting non-standard base-pairing at the 3rd anti-codon position.
Source: RNAcentral
GCGAGAAUAGCUCAGUUGGUAGAGCACAACCUUGCCAAGGUUGGGGUCGCGGGUUCGAAUCCCGUUUCUCGCUC